AAUGCGCAUCUCUUUCGAGGGGCAGGCCACUUCGGUGGGGUGUUUCUCGGCUGUUAACUGCUUGAAAGUUUUAAAGAAAAACGUUUUACAGUUUCUUUGAAUUAGCGGUUGACAGGGUGCGAAUUCGCUGUAGAAUGCGCACCACUUCUGAGGCAGUCAGCCACGGCGACUUCUUCAGGGGUUGGCCGCUUUGGUCUUGAAGGGUUUUGCAGUUAGGCGCUUGAGUCGCUUCGAAAAAUUCUUCAAAAAAGUGGUUGACAACAGCGAGGCAGCAUGUAGAAUACGCAGCCUCGAUUGAGCAGCAGCUCAACGCUCUUUAACAAGUGAACCAAGUAAUUCGUGUGGGCGCUGGCCGAGGUAUUUCGGACACGAAAUAUCAGGACAGUGACUCGUCGAAAUUGAGUUUUGUCUUGAGCAAGAAUUAAGAACUUACGAGUUCUUGUAUGAUUUAAACUGAAGAGUUUGAUCAUGGCUCAGAUUGAACGCUGGCGGCAGGCUUAACACAUGCAAGUCGAGCGGUAACAGGGGGUGCUUGCACCCCGCUGACGAGCGGCGGACGGGUGAGUAAUGCUUAGGAAUCUGCCCAGUAGUGGGGGAUAGCCCGGGGAAACCCGGAUUAAUACCGCAUACGUCCUACGGGAGAAAGCAGGGGAUCUUCGGACCUUGCGCUAUUGGAUGAGCCUAAGUCGGAUUAGCUAGUUGGUGGGGUAAAGGCCUACCAAGGCGACGAUCCGUAGCUGGUUUGAGAGGAUGAUCAGCCACAUCGGGACUGAGACACGGCCCGAACUCCUACGGGAGGCAGCAGUGGGGAAUAUUGGACAAUGGGGGCAACCCUGAUCCAGCCAUGCCGCGUGUGUGAAGAAGGCUUUCGGGUUGUAAAGCACUUUCAGUAAGGAGGAAAACCUUACGGUUAAUAACCGUGAGGCUUGACGUUACUUACAGAAGAAGCACCGGCUAACUCCGUGCCAGCAGCCGCGGUAAUACGGAGGGUGCAAGCGUUAAUCGGAAUUACUGGGCGUAAAGCGCGCGUAGGUGGUUCGAUAAGCGGGAUGUGAAAGCCCCGGGCUUAACCUGGGAACGGCAUUCCGAACUGUCGGGCUAGAGUAUGGUAGAGGGUAGUGGAAUUUCCUGUGUAGCGGUGAAAUGCGUAGAUAUAGGAAGGAACACCAGUGGCGAAGGCGGCUACCUGGACCAAUACUGACACUGAGGUGCGAAAGCGUGGGGAGCAAACAGGAUUAGAUACCCUGGUAGUCCACGCCGUAAACGAUGUCAACUAGCCGUUGGGACUCUUGAAGUCUUAGUGGCGCAGCUAACGCACUAAGUUGACCGCCUGGGGAGUACGGCCGCAAGGUUAAAACUCAAAUGAAUUGACGGGGGCCCGCACAAGCGGUGGAGCAUGUGGUUUAAUUCGACGCAACGCGAAGAACCUUACCUGGCCUUGACAUCCAGAGAACUUUCCAGAGAUGGAUUGGUGCCUUCGGGAACUCUGUGACAGGUGCUGCAUGGCCGUCGUCAGCUCGUGUCGUGAGAUGUUGGGUUAAGUCCCGUAACGAGCGCAACCCCUAUCCCUGGUUGCUAGCAGGUAAUGCUGAGAACUCCAGGGAGACUGCCGGUGACAAACCGGAGGAAGGUGGGGAUGACGUCAGGUCAUCAUGGCCCUUACGGCCAGGGCUACACACGUGCUACAAUGGCGCGUACAGAGGGCUGCGAACUCGCGAGAGUAAGCCAAUCCCUUAAAACGCGUCGUAGUCCGGAUCGGAGUCUGCAACUCGACUCCGUGAAGUCGGAAUCGCUAGUAAUCGCGAAUCAGAAUGUCGCGGUGAAUACGUUCCCGGGCCUUGUACACACCGCCCGUCACACCAUGGGAGUGGAUUGCACCAGAAGUGGUUAGUCUAACCUUCGGGAGGACGAUCACCACGGUGUGGUUCAUGACUGGGGUGAAGUCGUAACAAGGUAGCCGUAGGGGAACCUGCGGCUGGAUCACCUCCUUA
This 1991-nucleotide ribosomal RNA is filed under the name Marinobacter persicus. RNAcentral's name for it is "bacterial SSU rRNA". The stretch from base 451 to 1991 matches the Rfam family "Bacterial small subunit ribosomal RNA". Lineage: Bacteria; Pseudomonadati; Pseudomonadota; Gammaproteobacteria; Pseudomonadales; Marinobacteraceae. The record is from RNAcentral.